AUGGUGACAACACCAAGAUUGCCAAAGUGCCCAAACCUCCACCACNNNNNNNNNNNACAGAGCUCCAUCCCAUCCCAGUUCUGCCCCAUCCCAGUACAGCUCCAUCCCACCAUGCUUUCAAUCCCAGUACAGAGAUCCACCCCAUUUCCAUCCCAUCAAGGAGCUCCAUCCCAUCACAGCUCCAUCCCAGCACAGAGCUCCAUUCCAUCCCAAUUCUGUCCUAUACCAGCACAGCCCCAUCCCAGAAUGGAGCUCCUCUCCAUCCCAGUUCCAUCCCAUCAUGGAGCUCCAUCCCAGCACAGCUCCAUCCCAGUACAGAGCUGCAGCCCAUCCCAGUUCCAUCCCAUCAUGGAGCUCCAUCCCAGCACAGCUCCAUCCCAGUACAGAGCUGCAGCCCAUCCCAGUUCCAUCCCAUCAUGGAGCUCCAUCCCAGCACAGCUCCAUCCCAGUACAGAGCUGCAGCCCAUCCCAGUUCCAUCCCAUCAUGGAGCUCCAUCCCAGCACAGCUCAAUCCCAGUACAGAGCUCCAGUCCACUACUGCUCCAUCCCAUCCCAGUAUGGCUCCAUCCCAUCCCAGUAUGGCUCCAUCCCCUCCCAGUAUGGCUCUGUCACGUCCCAUCCCAGCACAGCCCCAUCCCAGCAUGGAGCUCCUCUUCAUCCCAAUUCCAUCCCACCAUGGAGCUCCAUCCCAGCACAGCCUCAUAUGAGCACAGAGCUCCAUCCCAUCCCAGUUCUGUCCCAUCCCAGUACAGCUCCAUCCCAGUACAGAACUCCACCCCAGUACAGUGCUCCUUUCCAUCCCAGUUCCAUCCCAUCAUGGAGCUCCACUCCAGCACAACUCCAUUUCAAAACAGAGCUCCAUCCCAGCACAGCUCCAUCCCAGUACAGAGCUGCAGCCCAUCCCAGUUCCAUCCCAUCAUGGAGCUCCAUCCCAGCACAACUCAAUCCCAGUACAGAGCCCCAUCCCAGUUCUGUCUCACCCCAGCACAGCCCCAUCCCAGUACAGAGCUCCACCCCAGUAUCAGCCCCCUACAGAGCUCCUUUCCACCCCAGUUCCAUCCCACCAUGGAGCUCCAUUCCAGCACAGCCCCAUCAGAGCAGGUUCUGAUGCCAAAAUUCAGCAGUGUAACAUGGAACAUUGGAACCUUUCCAUUCAGUUCAGUUCUACUAUUUUGCUGCUUAUUUUCUCUCUGUUCUACAGAAAUAAUAAUAAUAAUCUUUUCAUUACAAAAAUCAGGAUUUGGAUGA
This 1248-nucleotide long non-coding RNA is filed under the name Chrysolophus pictus (golden pheasant). RNAcentral's name for it is "lncRNA (ENSCPIG00010003781.1)". The record is from RNAcentral. Lineage: Eukaryota; Metazoa; Chordata; Aves; Galliformes; Phasianidae.